This 254-nucleotide ribosomal RNA is filed under the name uncultured bacterium. Its description in RNAcentral is "partial 16S ribosomal RNA". It matches the Rfam family "Bacterial small subunit ribosomal RNA", at positions 524 to 776 of the family's 1533-position model. The record is from RNAcentral.
UACGUAGGACCCAAGCGUUAUCCGGAAUUACUGGGCGUAAAGAGUUGCGUAGGUGGCAGAGUAAGUCUCAAUAUAAAGACGACGGCUCAACCGUCGGACCUAUUGGGAAACUGCUCAGCUUGAGGAUGAGAGAGGUCACUGGAAUUCCUAGUGUAGGAGUGAAAUCCGUAGAUAUUAGGAGGAACACCAAUGGCGUAGGCAGGUGACUGGCUCAUUCCUGACACUAAGGCACGAAAGCGUGGGGAGCGAACGGG